This is a non-coding RNA of Dermacentor albipictus, 435 nucleotides long. The record is from RefSeq and is a predicted model, not a curated record. NCBI's taxonomy places the organism in Eukaryota, Metazoa, Arthropoda, Arachnida, Ixodida, Ixodidae.
CGACAGAAGGUGAUCGAAAAGUACCUUCAAGGGUUACGUCAUCAUGAAGACGGCUACUCCCAUGGCUACCUGAAGUCAGACGAUGAGCUUAAGCUUUUUGAGAGGUCCUUGGCUGCCCUCAACGAGAGGUAUGCUGUGCGGACAUCAAGAGACCUGAACAAGCCGUCUAAAUCCAAUGUCGUCUUCUCCAUGAUCCACUCCGGGUGCAGAAUCUCUCUAGACAAUGUACCGUUUGUGGUUGUCAAAGAAACCGUCAAAGUCUGCAUAUUUGUAACGGAAUACUACAAAAAGACUCGAGAGAAAAACAAAGACCAGGGUUCAAGCACCACUGACUGGCCGAAGGAGGUGUACGAGAAGAAGCGAAUGAACCUCCAAGGCACAAAGAAGAAAGGGUGUGCAGCAACAAUGAAUUUGAGGUGGAUUGAAUUGUACCCA